Molecule: ribosomal RNA, 405 nt
Filed under: uncultured bacterium
Lineage: Bacteria
Description: bacterial SSU rRNA
Rfam family: Bacterial small subunit ribosomal RNA
Source: RNAcentral
UGAGGAAUAUUGCGCAAUGGGCGAAAGCCUGACGCAGCAACGCCGCGUGGGUGAUGAAGGCCUUCGGGUCGUAAAACCCUUUUCCAGAGGCAGAGCAAGGACGGUACUCUGGGAAUAAGCCACGGCUAACUACGUGCCAGCAGCCGCGGUAAUACGUAGGUGGCGAGCGUUAUCCGGAUUUACUGGGCGUAAAGCGCGUGCAGGCGGCUUCGCAAGUCGGAUGUUAAAUCUCUCGGCUCAACUGGGAGGUGUCGUUCGAAACUGCGAGGCUUGAGGUUGGGAGAGGGAAGCGGAAUUCCCGGUGUAGUGGUGGAAUGCGUAGAUAUCGGGAGGAACACCUGUGGCGAAAGCGGCUUCCUGGCCCACACCUGACGCUAAGACGCGAAAGCGUGGGGAGCGAACAGG